Long non-coding RNA from Sciurus carolinensis (gray squirrel), 3011 nucleotides. RefSeq lists it as uncharacterized. The transcript has 3 exons. The record is from RefSeq and is a predicted model, not a curated record. Lineage: Eukaryota; Metazoa; Chordata; Mammalia; Rodentia; Sciuridae.
AAAAGAAUACCGACCACAAGUUAUACAAAAAGAGACUUCAGAGACCACACACAAAAAUAAUGUAGGCUUUACAAAAAUAGUUUAGAAACAUCACUAAGAAAACAACCACAACCCACAGCAAGCAACAAAAAUAAACAACAAAAGGGAACAUAAUCUAAUACAUAGACUUAACCUAUUGUAACAUUCAAAAUUUCCACAUUUCAAAAAAAUAUUAUGAGGUGUGCAAAUGAACAAGGAAGUAUAGCCUAUUCACAAAACAAAUUAGCUAAAAUAUUCUUGAGGAUGCAUAGAUGUUGAGUUUAUUAGACAAAGAUUAGUAAAUCUAUUUUAAAUACACACAAACACCUAAAAGAAACCAGGAAAAGGAUGUUUCAACAAAUAGAGAAUAUAAAUGAAGAGAUAAAAAUUAUAAAAAGGAACCAAGCAAAUUCUGGAGCUCAUAAGUGCACUAAUUAGAAUUAUAUUGAAAAAAUCCAAUAGACAGUUUAAGUAGCAAACCCUCAGCAAGCAGAAGAAGAAAAGAGCAAAUAUGAUGAUAGGACAAACAGAAUGAUCCAAUUUGAGGAGCAGAAAUAAAAAAGAAUGAAGAAAAGUGAACAGAGUUUUGGAGUCCAGUGGGACUCUACCUUUAGACUCAAAGUGAAACAUUGACUUUUCCUGAAUCUUGAGCAUACCACCUUUCAGACUAAAAUGAAACCAUAUGUUCUCCAGCUUGCUGACACACCUUGCUAAUGUUGGGACUUGCCAUCCAUAAAUGUGUGAGCCAAUUCCUUGUAACGAAUUAUAAUUAUAAUAUGUAAAUAAAUCACAAUAUAUAAAUAAAUUAUAACUUCCUCUGAAGAACCCUGAGCAAUAUAACUACUAUAAAAGAAACAGAAAACAAAAACCAAGGAAAUAACAAGUGUUCAGUGAAAAUAUGGAGAAAUUGUACACUUGUAUGUUAGAAUGUAAAUGAUGCAGUUACUAUAGAAGACAGUAUAAUGAUUCAUUAAAAUAUUUGGAAAAACUAUCAUAUGAGUUAGUAAUAAAAAUUCCGAGGAUUCAUAUAGAAAAAGUUCAGAGCAAGAUCUCAAAGAGAGAUAUUAGUAUACCCUUGUUCCUAGUAGCCUUACUCGCAUUAGAUAAAAGAGGAACAACUCAAAUAUCUAUCAAUUGAUGAAUAUAUAAACAAGUGUGGUAUGCACAUAUAGCAUAUUGUCCAAUCUUUAAAAGGAAGAAAAAUCUGACACAUAUUACAAUAUGAAUAAACUUUGAAGACAUUAUAAGGGAAAUAACCCCAUCACAAAAAUAUGAAUACUGUAUGAUUUCAUUAAGAUAAGUAUCUGAAGUAGUCGAAUUCAUAGAGGAAAAAGUAAAAUGGUAGUUACCAGCAACCUGGAGAAAGAGAAAAAUGGAAAUUUUACAGGAUAUAGUGAUUUAGUUUUGCAAGAUGAAAAACUUCUGGAGGUCUAUUUAAAAAUAAUGUGAAUAUACUUAACACUACUGAAGUAUGCAUUAAAAAGUGUUUAAGAUGGUUACACUCAUUCCAUUUGCCACUGACCUUAAAAAAGGUCUACAAAAAUAGUUGGAAACUUUAGUACAAUAGUUUAAUCUACAGAACAACUAGACAGAAGAUAAAUAGAGGAUUUAAACAACACUAUAAACCAACUAGACAUAACAUAUACAGAACAUUCCACACAACAGUACUGGAACACAUAGCUACAGUAUUUUUCUUUUUGUGUUCAUGGUGCUGGGGAUCAAACCCAGGGCAUCACACAUGCUAGGCAAGUGGUCUACAACUGAGCUACACCCCCAGUUAUGGAACAUAUAUAUUCCUCAAACUGCAUAUGGAGCAUUCCUCAGGCUUGACCAUAUGAUAGGACACAAAAGAAGUCUGAAUAAAUUAAAAAUGGAAAUCAUACAAAGUACAUUCAUCAAAUACUAUGAAGUGAAACUAGAAAUGGAUAACAGAAGGACAUUUUAGAAAUUCACAAAUAUGUAGAAAUUAAACAACACAAUCUUGAACCAUCAACAAAUAAUUGUUCAAAAGAGAAAUCACAAGGGAAAUUAGAAAAUACUUUGAAUCAAAUGAAAAUGAAAACCCAACAUACUCAAAACUUAAAUAAUAUAGUAAAAACAGGACUUAGAGGAAAAUUAUAGUAUAAAUGUCUACAUUGAAAAAGAAAUAGUAAGAACUUUGGAUAAGCAAGAUGGUAGAAUAGGGCUUUCCAGUGCUUAUCCACUCACCAGAAACAUCAAUUUGAACUACUACCAAUGCAGGAAAAUAUGCUUACAACAGCCAAGGAAAUCAGAUGUGACUGUUUUCUCCUACCUGUGCUCUCACCAUGACAUGCUACCAUCUCCUGCUCUCACCAGAGGCCAAAACAAUGGGGUUGCUUGAGCUUGGACUUCUAAUUUGCAAAACUGAGUUCACAGUUGAAAGAAUUUGCCUUGAGUCUCAGAUGAGACUUUGGACUUGGAAUUUUGAGCAAGACAGGAACAUAAGACUUUGAGACUCGGGAAUAGAAUUGAUGCAUUUUGCAUUGUGAAAAGGACAUGAGCCCUUGGAGACCAGGAGUGAUAUGUUAUGGUUUAGAUGUGAUAGAAUGUCCACCAAGAGUCCACUGUGAUUGAAGAUAUGGUCUAAGAGGUGGUUCUACUGGGAGAUGAUGGGUCCUUUGGGAGGUAGAGAAGAUCCUUAGAUCACUGUGGGUGUGUCCUCAUGCAACCCCAUCAAUAAUUCUCACAAGAGGAUUGUUAUAAAAGAAGGAAGCCUGGACUCACCCAAUCUCUUUCUCUUUGCUCAUGUUUGAGAUAUGACCUCUUGCUCUUAUAUGUAUUCCCACCAUGAUAUGCCACCAUUCAUAAACUUUACCAGAGGCCAAACUUAAUGGGGUCACACAAUCUUGGAUUUUGUGCCUCCCCAAAUAUAAAUUAAAUAAACCUUUUAUUUUUAUAAAGUUACCUGCCUCAGAUAUUCUGUUAUAAAGAUGAAAAUCUAAUACAAUUGAAUAUUCACAUGUGGAGGAAUA